Schistosoma rodhaini is the source of this 45-nucleotide non-coding RNA. The record is from Rfam. Lineage: Eukaryota; Metazoa; Platyhelminthes; Trematoda; Strigeidida; Schistosomatidae.
AUCCAUUUGACGAGUCCCAAAUAGGACGCAAGAUGUGUUUUGGAU